GCCCUGGUAACCAAAAUCUAGGCAGGGUGUGCAGCCUGCUGGAGACUCUAGGGGGUGCUGUGGUGUCAUUGUGGAAGCUGACGUUCAUCAUGGUGGAUUUCUGAUUUACAGAGGCAACAAUGGAGCUGUUUACCAUGGUUCAGACCUGAAUUUUAUCAGCAAGGAUGUUUCUGGUAUCAAUGUAAGGUCUCUGAAGGCAGCUAAAGAAUCCGAGUCACAUAGUAUAUGAUGGAAAGAGGUCCUGACUGGGUAGUACGAUGAGUCCCAUUAAGUAUGGAACUGCUCAUAAUGGCUAUCUAUAGUUUGCAUUACAGCACUGACAUUUUGUAUAGGGAAAUUUCAUUAAAACCACAAGACUACAGAAGACUAGAGGGAAUUGUUCAUUUUGUUGACUGAACAUGCAAUCUAUUUUAUAGAGGCUGUUAUUCCAAUGCAAGACUUCCUUCUCCAACUAAUAUUAGUUGUCCUUAUUUUCUUCAUCUUUGUCUGAUGAUAUGCAUCUUGGAUUUAAAGUAAAAAAAAAAUAUGGAGAAUGUCUGAGACCAGAAAUUGCAAUUAGACUGUUGCAUCUUUUAUAGCCUAAUGAUGCUGUACUUUGUUGGUAUCAAAGUAGAUAUGUACUCAUCUGCCUAUUAUAUUAAUAAAGUUACCUCAUCUUUCUUGUUCAUUUUAUAAUAGCCCCUUGUCUUCAACUAAUGGAAGCACAUAACACAAGUAAAUGUGAUUAGGUGGCAUGUUUAAUUGUGCAUAUUUAGAUGAUAAUGGCAUAAAAUUCUGUAUGAACAUCUACUUUACCCUUUAGUUAUGAAUAAUAAUGCCUUCUUUUUUGCUCGAAGUCUUAUGUGGGUGUCAUUGCAAUGUAAAGUUCAAAGAAGACAGUUUGUUCCUUAUGCUCAUGUAAAACUGCCAUACAUUAUAUGAAGUGUAUAUUGUACACAACUGUCUAGAGCGAAUGUUUGCCUAAGGCUGGUAUUCAUAGUCACUUGCAUAAAUCCGAAAAGGAUAUUCCAUGGGGAUACUCCUGACACACAGUGAAAGUGAGAUUCACACAGGUCAUUUACACUAAUGUGAAAGGUCAUUUACACUAAUGUGAAAGGCUUUAAAACUGAUGAGGUGCAAAUGAGAAAUGUUGUAAAGUGUAGUAUGCUAAUUAGGGGGGUUAACAAUUCAUAGUCCAUUGUUAAAAGUGAAGUUGCCUUUGAUGCUCUAUUAGCAAUUCAUGAACUUGCCCUCAGUCAUCCUUUUUGUAGUUUGUCCAGGUAUGCACAAGCACUUUCAUAACACAAUAAAUCAGACAUCUGACCAUGUAUACACAAGCACAUCUCUGACACACAAAUUAUUUCUUCAGCAACCCCUUCAACAACCCCUUCAACAGUAUGUCCAGGUAUGCACAAGCACCAAAAUGAAACAUUCACCCGAGUGACCCCCUCAGUCAAAUGUCCAGGUAUACAUACUCACCAAAAUGAAACUUUCAUCCAAGCAACCUCUUCAGUCAAAUAUCCAGGUAUACAUAACUCACCAAAAUGAAACACUUGACCAAGCGACCCUUUCAGAUGAAUGUCAAGCACUAACUGAUCCCCCCCUCACAUCUCUGUGUUCUAGUGGAAGACUGCUGCUUACUGGUGUAAGUUCAGGGCUAUUUACAUACUUAGUAUGUAAAUGAGUUUAUUCUAGAUCCAAGUCUAUGAAUCGUACUAAUACACAUAUUUGUAAGGCCCCGUAUCAGCAUAUUCACUGCCCCCCCCCAACACUUAUAAGUUAAGUAUGCUAUGCUUUUGCAAUAGGGGGAAUGUUUACAACUCAUUCAGAUGCAUGUAUUCAUGCAGAAAGUCUGGGAUUUGCAUAUCCAAGUAGCAUCACUCUUUACAGAUCACCGCUAUAAAAAUACGAAGUCCCGGACUUAUGAAUACCACCCUAAAUAUUUUGAAAAAUGAUACAAGGUGUAACACAUCAAAAUAAUAAAGUAAGACAAGAAUACAUUGUGUACAUUAGAUUUAUUAAAACUGUGGACAACAGAAAUAAAAAUUUAGCAAGAACAACUAGCACCACAUUUUACCAGUAUUAACGAGAUAAUUUGUCUGACUGCAUAGCUGUAUGUGUGUGGGAAACUGGAAGCCAGUACGAUAAGACGACUCAUGUAUAAUUUUCUUCUUCCCAAACAAACUAAUGCCAAAGGUAAAAUUAAAACAGUGCUUGAAAUUCCAUCCACACAGAACAGAUGAAACUAUUUUGUUUUCA
Long non-coding RNA from Protopterus annectens (West African lungfish), 2238 nucleotides. RefSeq lists it as uncharacterized. NCBI's taxonomy places the organism in Eukaryota, Metazoa, Chordata, Ceratodontiformes, Protopteridae. The transcript is spliced from 2 exons. The record is from RefSeq and is a predicted model, not a curated record.